GACGAACGCUGGCGGCGUGGAUUAGGCAUGCAAGUCGAACGGUAUCAUCCUUUCGGGGGUGAGAGAGUGGCGAACUGGUGAGUAACACGUAGGUUAUCUACCCUCAAGACGGGGACAACCCAGGGAAACUUGGGCUAAUACCGGAUGUGAGCAACUUUUAGUUGUUUGAAAGGUGGCGUAAGCUGUCGCUUGGGGAUGAGCCUGCGUCCUAUUAGUUAGUUGGUGAGGUAACGGCUCACCUAGGCAAUGAUAGGUAGGCGGCCUUAACGGGUGGUCGCCCACACUGGGAUUGAGAUACGGCCCAGACUCCUACGGGAGGCAGCAGUCGAGAAUAGUCUACAAUGGUCGGAAGACUGAUAGUGCGACGCCGCGUGAACGAUGAAUCCCUUCGGGGUGUAAAAGUUCUUUUAUAUGUGAGCAGUGCUUCUUAUAUUAACAGUAUGGGGAAGAGAUAUUAGCAUAUGAAUAAGCAACGGCUAAACUCCGUGCCAGCAGCCGCGGU
This 502-nucleotide ribosomal RNA is filed under the name uncultured bacterium. RNAcentral's name for it is "bacterial SSU rRNA". It matches the Rfam family "Bacterial small subunit ribosomal RNA", at positions 28 to 521 of the family's 1533-position model. The record is from RNAcentral.